CCUACGGGUGGCAGCAGUGGGGAAUAUUGCGCAAUGGUCGAAAGCCUGACGCAGCGACGCCGCGUGAGGGAUGAAGGUCUUCGGAUCGUAAACCUCUGUCAGCAGGGAAGAACGGUCACUGAGCUAAUCGGCAGUGAAUUGACGGUACCUGCAAAGGCAGCACCGGCUAACUCCGUGCAAGCAGCCGCGGUAAUACGGAGGGUGCGAGCGUUAAUCGGAAUUACUGGGCGGAAAGCGCGCGUAGGCGGUAUGUCAAGUCAAGGGUGAAAUCCCCGCGCUCAACGUGGGAACUGCCGUUGAAACUGGAAAACUGGAGUGUGUGAGAGGAUAGUGGAAUUCCAGGUGUA
This 347-nucleotide ribosomal RNA is filed under the name uncultured bacterium. Its description in RNAcentral is "partial 16S ribosomal RNA". It matches the Rfam family "Bacterial small subunit ribosomal RNA", at positions 338 to 677 of the family's 1533-position model. The record is from RNAcentral.